GGGGGUGACAAGGAUUCGACAGAGGUAGGAAGACUAAAACUGCACAUCAAGGUCUGGGUUCCUUGUAAAACUACCCAGAAAAACAAUAAGCGCCAACGAAAAUUUGGCUUUAGCUGCUUAAAAGCAGUUAACGCCUGGUCACUUUCGCUCUGUGAGGUGGCUAAGGUGUCAGAAAGCAGGGCUAACCUUACUCUUAGCAAAGGAGAGCUGGGUGAAACUUAAACUUUGCUAAGCUCGCUUUCUAUCCUGCCUGUCGGAGAGAAAAUGAGCGAAUAUAAAUGACAGGAUAGGUGUGUAGAUGUUUUGGUUUUCUCAUUUCUGGACGAGGGUUCGAUUCCCUCCACCUCCACCA
This 352-nucleotide transfer-messenger RNA is filed under the name Candidatus Aerophobota. RNAcentral's name for it is "Kmv34 sp014859225 Standard tmRNA". It matches the Rfam family "transfer-messenger RNA". Rfam says of the family: Bacterial tmRNA, also known as 10Sa RNA or SsrA, is named for its dual tRNA and mRNA-like properties. Its role is to liberate the mRNA from a stalled ribosome. The record is from RNAcentral. RNAcentral also lists the same sequence under 1 other name.